GCCUCUUUAGCUCAGUAGGUAGAGCAUUCGCUUUGUAAGCGAAAGGCCAUCGGUUCGAUCCCGGUAGGAGGCU
Danaus plexippus (monarch butterfly) is the source of this 73-nucleotide non-coding RNA. NCBI's taxonomy places the organism in Eukaryota, Metazoa, Arthropoda, Insecta, Lepidoptera, Nymphalidae. The record is from the annotation of a RefSeq genome assembly.